Molecule: ribosomal RNA, 345 nt
Filed under: Triticum aestivum (bread wheat)
Lineage: Eukaryota; Viridiplantae; Streptophyta; Magnoliopsida; Poales; Poaceae
Description: partial small subunit ribosomal RNA
Source: RNAcentral
AUGGCAUCCGUGGCUCGGACCACCGUGCUGCUCCUCCUCCUGGUCGCCGUCGUCAUUCUCGUGCCCACUGCAUCGGCGGCCGGCAGGAUGCUGGCCAAUCAGGUGGCCGGUGCCGGGGAACGGGGCGAAGCCACCAACGCGGCCCGCAUCCUUGUUGAUGCGGACGUCCGCGCCAGUGCCGACAUCCUCGGCAUCCGCACUGAGAGUGCCGUCCAUGCCAAAGGCGGCGGCAAGGCUGAUAGCCGCAGCAACAUCAACACCGUCGACGCAGGCAGCCUCGGCGUCCACACCCAAAUCCGCGGAAAAGCCGACAGCCGUGGCUUCCGCGGGCCAUUUAACCCAUGA